AGGCACGUAGCUCAGCUGGUUAGAGCACCGUCUUGAUAAGGCGGGGGUCGUUGGUUCGAGUCCAAUCGUGCCUACCA
This 77-nucleotide transfer RNA is filed under the name Chromobacterium sp. Panama. Its description in RNAcentral is "tRNA-Ile". It matches the Rfam family "tRNA". Rfam says of the family: Transfer RNA (tRNA) molecules are approximately 80 nucleotides in length. Their secondary structure includes four short double-helical elements and three loops (D, anti-codon, and T loops). Lineage: Bacteria; Pseudomonadati; Pseudomonadota; Betaproteobacteria; Neisseriales; Chromobacteriaceae. The record is from RNAcentral.